CGGGGUGUAGCGCAGUUGGUCAGCGCGCAUGGUUUGGGACCAUGAGGUCGCCGGUUCGAAUCCGGCCACCCCGA
Molecule: transfer RNA, 74 nt
Filed under: Chloroflexota bacterium
Lineage: Bacteria; Bacillati; Chloroflexota
Also listed under: 3 other names
Description: tRNA-Pro
Rfam family: tRNA
About the family: Transfer RNA (tRNA) molecules are approximately 80 nucleotides in length.
Source: RNAcentral